RNAcentral lists this ribosomal RNA (254 nucleotides) under uncultured bacterium. RNAcentral's name for it is "partial 16S ribosomal RNA". It matches the Rfam family "Bacterial small subunit ribosomal RNA", at positions 524 to 776 of the family's 1533-position model. The record is from RNAcentral.
UACGGGGGGAGCAAGCGUUGUUCGGAUUUACUGGGCGUAAAGGGCGCGUAGGCGGCCACCGCAAGUCGACUGUGAAAUCUUCGGGCUUAACCCGGAAAGGUCAGCCGAUACUGCGGGGCUAGAGUGCAGAAGGGGCAACUGGAAUUCUCGGUGUAGCGGUGAAAUGCGUAGAUAUCGAGAGGAACACCUGCGGCGAAGGCGGGCUGCUGGGCUGACACUGACGCUGAUGUGCGAAAGCUAGGGGAGCGAACGGG